UACGAAGGGAGCUAGCGUUGUUCGGAAUUACUGGGCGUAAAGCGCGCGUAGGCGGAUUAUUAAGUUAGGGGUGAAAUCCCAGGGCUCAACCCUGGAACUGCCCUUAAUACUGGUAAUCUAGAGUUCGAGAGAGGUGAGUGGAAUUCCGAGUGUAGAGGUGAAAUUCGUAGAUAUUCGGAGGAACACCAGUGGCGAAGGCGGCUCACUGGCUCGAUACUGACGCUGAGGUGCGAAAGCGUGGGGAGCAAACAGG
Molecule: ribosomal RNA, 253 nt
Filed under: uncultured bacterium
Lineage: Bacteria
Description: partial 16S ribosomal RNA
Rfam family: Bacterial small subunit ribosomal RNA
Source: RNAcentral